RNAcentral lists this long non-coding RNA (305 nucleotides) under Homo sapiens (human). Its description in RNAcentral is "HSALNT0263307". The record is from RNAcentral. Lineage: Eukaryota; Metazoa; Chordata; Mammalia; Primates; Hominidae.
CACACUCCAGCAAGACCCGGUCUCAAAAAAAAAAAAAAAGUAAGGAAAAGAAAAAGAAAAGAAAAGGAGUCUCCAUCCAGACCCCAAGAGAGGGUUUCGUGGAUCUUGCACAGGAAAGAAUUCAAGACCUUGACUACUUCCCAGUUGGUGGAGAGGGAAUCCAGAUGUGUAAGGAUACAUCCUAGAAGGUAGGGAUGACCCCAAGUGCAUCAUCCAGUCAAAUUGUAAGGAUUGGAAACUUCCUGAGACCUCCCCAGAAGCUGAUGCCACCAUGUUUGCUGUGCAGCCUACAGAACCGUGAGCCA